RNAcentral lists this ribosomal RNA (451 nucleotides) under uncultured bacterium. RNAcentral describes it as "partial 16S ribosomal RNA". It matches the Rfam family "Bacterial small subunit ribosomal RNA", at positions 29 to 523 of the family's 1533-position model. The record is from RNAcentral.
AACGAACGCUGGCGGCAGGCUUAACACAUGCAGGUCGAACGGGCGUAGCAAUACGUCAGUGGCAGACGGGUGAGUAACACGUGGGAACCUUCCUAGGGGUACGGAACAACUCAGGGAAACUUGAGCUAAUACCGUAUACGUCCGUGAGGAGAAAGAUUUAUCGCCCUUAGACGGGCCCGCGUCGGAUUAGCUAGUUGGUGGGGUAACGGCCUACCAAGGCGACGAUCCGUAGCUGAUCUUAGAGGAUGAUCAGCCACACUGGGACUGAGACAUGGCCCAGACUCCUACGGGAGGCAGCAGUGGGGAAUCUUGGACAAUGGGCGCAAGCCUGAUCCAGCCACGCCGCGUGAGUGAAGAAGGCCUUAGGGUUGUAAAGCUCUUUUACCAGGGACGAUAAUGACGGUACCUGGAGAAUAAGCCCCGGCAAACUUCGUGCCAGCAGCCGCGGUAA